GCAGUACAGUGGCGUAAUCUCAGCUCACUGCAACCUCUGCCUCCCGGGAUCAAGCGAUUCUCCUUCCUCAGCCUCCCGAGUAGCUGGGAUUACAGGAUGGUGCUAGCAUAUAUAAGACUGAAACACCAAAGUCCUCCGUGGAAGUUAAUGAAUUUCUAAUAGUGAAAUAAGGUGGCCAAGGAGGCAGAGAUGGAGUCAGGGACUCUGUGAUCAACCCUGAGGAUUGGGAAGGAACUAUACAUACCAGGAGGCAAGGAGCACUGGGGGCCCUCCUGGAACUGCCUGUCACAGCGUCCUCAAAGCAGUAUGAUGGUACUUCCAGUACCCCAGUGACACCUAGCCUGAGAAAGAAGCAGAGAUAAAGUCUAUAGAGGAAGAGAGCAUCUGAAUGACGUUUGAGUCCCUGGAUCCACUGUGUGAAGCCAGAGCCACUCCUGCAAGUGUUUUGUUUAGGUUUAAAUUUGAUUGAGAUUUUUAUUACUUCAAAGUAAAAAAUUCUUACUAAUGCAAUGCCUUCAGCCUUCCACCUCAAAGUCACUGAAAGGAUCUUAAUAUUUUCAAUGUAUAUAUUUAUAACUUAUAAUUUAAUGUAUUUAUAUUAUAAAUAUAACUUAUAAUUCAAUGUAUUUAUAUUAUAAAUAUAACUUAUAAUUCAAUGUAUUUAUAUUAUAAAUAUAACUUAUAAUUCAA
Molecule: long non-coding RNA, 690 nt
Filed under: Homo sapiens (human)
Lineage: Eukaryota; Metazoa; Chordata; Mammalia; Primates; Hominidae
Description: novel transcript
Source: RNAcentral